Molecule: transfer RNA, 77 nt
Filed under: Ictidomys tridecemlineatus (thirteen-lined ground squirrel)
Lineage: Eukaryota; Metazoa; Chordata; Mammalia; Rodentia; Sciuridae
Description: Spermophilus tridecemlineatus (thirteen-lined ground squirrel) tRNA
Rfam family: tRNA
About the family: Transfer RNA (tRNA) molecules are approximately 80 nucleotides in length. Their secondary structure includes four short double-helical elements and three loops (D, anti-codon, and T loops).
Source: Rfam by way of RNAcentral
GUGGUUGUGGCUCAGUGGUAGAGCACUUGCCUAUAGCAUGCGUGAGGAGGCAACUGGGUUCGAUUCUCAGCACCACA